AGAGUUUGAUCCUGGCUCAGGAUGAACGCUGGCGGCGUGCUUAACACAUGCAAGUCGAGCGAAGCACUUUUGCGGAUUUCUUCGGAUUGAAGCAAUUGUGACUGAGCGGCGGACGGGUGAGUAACGCGUGGGUAACCUGCCUCAUACAGGGGGAUAACAGUUGGAAACGGCUGCUAAUACCGCAUAAGCGCACAGUACCGCAUGGUACGGUGUGAAAAACUCCGGUGGUAUGAGAUGGACCCGCGUCUGAUUAGGUAGUUGGUGGGGUAACGGCCUACCAAGCCGACGAUCAGGUAGCCGACCUGAGAGGGUGACCGGCCACAUUGGGACUGAGACACGGCCCAAACUCCUACGGGAGGCAGCAGUGGGGAAUAUUGCACAAUGGGGGAAACCCUGAUGCAGCGACGCCGCGUGAGCGAUGAAGUAUUUCGGUAUGUAAAGCUCUAUCAGCAGGGAAGAAAAUGACGGUACCUGACUAAGAAGCCCCGGCUAACUACGUGCCAGCAGCCGCGGU
Molecule: ribosomal RNA, 514 nt
Filed under: Ruminococcus sp. CJ63
Lineage: Bacteria; Bacillati; Bacillota; Clostridia; Eubacteriales; Oscillospiraceae
Description: bacterial SSU rRNA
Rfam family: Bacterial small subunit ribosomal RNA
Source: RNAcentral